UAGGUUCUCACAUGUCCCGAGCUCAAUGCCGCUUGAUGACAUUAGCUCUCUAGUUCACAUACCUUCUAAAUGGCAAUCUUGUCAUCUUUCAUGUCACAAGUAAACUCAAGUUUAAAUGCAUGAAUCCGAACUCAUUUAUACUAUAGAAGCAUGAAACCAAGUCUCAUAAAGAAUGCUAAAUGCAACCAAAGAUCUCCCAAGCAACUCUCUACUACAUAGAGGUCCAAAAUUUCACUAUAUAUAACAUAUGCAUUUUAAGCAUUCUAAAAAUCAUAAUAAAUACAUUUAGUAUGAACAUGCAUGCUUUUUCAAUUUACGGAACAUAUAUAACCAUAUAUGAGAAUUUCUCAUAUGUAGGCUAGGUCAAACCCACCGAACCGUCGCGUAGGGUCUCGAUUCGCCGAACAAAGUUGUCCCCGAGUCUCAAAAUACCCUAAAAGUAUUGAGCGACAAGAUACACGG
This 462-nucleotide long non-coding RNA is filed under the name Ananas comosus (pineapple). Its description in RNAcentral is "long non-coding RNA (ACOM_LNC030720)". Lineage: Eukaryota; Viridiplantae; Streptophyta; Magnoliopsida; Poales; Bromeliaceae. The record is from RNAcentral.